UUCGGUGGCAUUAGCGAAGAGGUCACACCCGUUCCCAUUCCGAACACGGAAGUUAAGCUCUUCAGCGCCGAUGGUACUGCAUGGGUAACUGUGUGGGAGAGUAGGUCGCCGCCGAUU
RNAcentral lists this ribosomal RNA (117 nucleotides) under Pseudomonadota bacterium. The record is from RNAcentral. Lineage: Bacteria; Pseudomonadati; Pseudomonadota.